This 253-nucleotide ribosomal RNA is filed under the name uncultured bacterium. RNAcentral's name for it is "partial 16S ribosomal RNA". It matches the Rfam family "Bacterial small subunit ribosomal RNA", at positions 32 to 274 of the family's 1533-position model. The record is from RNAcentral.
AAUCAACGCUGGCGGCGUGCCUCAGACAUGCAAGUCGAACGAUUAAAGCGUCUCUUCGGAGAGUGUAUAGAGUGGCGCACGGGUGAGUAACACGUAAGUAAUCUACCUUCGAGUGGGGAAUACCGUCCGGAAACGGACGCUAAUACCGCAUAAUGCAGCGGCAUCGUAAGAUGACAGUUGUUAAAGAUUUUAUCGCUUGAAGAGGAGCUUGCGGCAGAGUUAGCUAGUUGGUAAGGUAAUGGCUUACCAAGGC